AUUGAACGCUGGCGGCAGGCCUAACACAUGCAAGUCGAACGAGUGGCGGACGGGUGAGUAAUGUCUGGGCAACUGCCUGAUGGAGGGGUCUAACUACUGGAAACGGUAGCUACUACCGCAUACCAUCAGAUGUGCCCAGAUGGGAUUAGCUAGUUGGUGGGGUAACGGCGCACCAAGGCGACGCUCCCUAGCUGGUCUGAGAGGAUGACCAGCCACACUGGAAAUGAGACACGGUCCAGACGCCUACGGGAGGCAGCAGUGGGGAAGAUUGCACAAUGGGCGCAAGCCUGAUGCAGCCAUGCCGCGUGUAUGAAGAAGGCCUGCGGGUUGUAAAGUACUUUCAGCGGGGAGGCGUUACCCGCAGAAGAAGCACCGGCUAACUCCGUGCCAGCCGCCGCGGUAAUUC
RNAcentral lists this ribosomal RNA (406 nucleotides) under uncultured bacterium. RNAcentral's name for it is "partial 16S ribosomal RNA". It matches the Rfam family "Bacterial small subunit ribosomal RNA", at positions 30 to 526 of the family's 1533-position model. The record is from RNAcentral.